ACAACCAAGUGAACAAGAAUUCGUUGGUAUAAGCGCCACAAUAAGAUCUCAAAAUUAAGACCAAAAGAUUGUAGUAAUAGAGAAGCGAAGCCAAGAACACCAAAAAAAAUGAGAAGGGAAAAGACCCUUCCUCGAAGACGAGGAGAUAAGGGGCGAAGGAUAUUCAUGAUAUUCAGAAAGAUUUAUGUUCAUUCGCUCUGCUCGCAGAGCGGUAUACCGAAAANNNN
This 227-nucleotide long non-coding RNA is filed under the name Nicotiana benthamiana. RNAcentral describes it as "long non-coding RNA (NBEN_LNC021258)". The record is from RNAcentral. Lineage: Eukaryota; Viridiplantae; Streptophyta; Magnoliopsida; Solanales; Solanaceae.